AAUCAACGCUGGCGGCGUGCCUCAGACAUGCAAGUCGAACGAUUAAGACUCCCUUCGGGGAGUGCAUAAAGUGGCGCACGGGUGAGUAACACGUAAGUAAUCUACCCUCGGGUGGGGAAUAACGUCCGGAAACGGACGCUAAUACCGCAUAAUGCAGCGGCACCGCAAGGUGACAGUUGUUAAAGAUUUAUUGCCUGGGGAGGAGCUUGCGGCAGAUUAGCUUGUUGGAAGGUAACGGCUUACCAAGGCUACGAUCUGUAUCCGGUCUAAGAGGACGGUCGGACACACUGACACUGAAUAACGGGUCAGACUCCUACGGGAGGCAGCAGUCGGGAAUUUUGGGCAAUGGGGGAAACCCUGACCCAGCAACGCCGCGUGAAGGAUGAAGUAUUUUCGGUAUGUAAACUUCGAAAGAAUAGGAAGAAUUAAUGACGGUACUAUUUAU
RNAcentral lists this ribosomal RNA (445 nucleotides) under uncultured bacterium. RNAcentral's name for it is "bacterial SSU rRNA". It matches the Rfam family "Bacterial small subunit ribosomal RNA", at positions 32 to 485 of the family's 1533-position model. The record is from RNAcentral.